This 292-nucleotide ribosomal RNA is filed under the name uncultured bacterium. RNAcentral describes it as "partial 16S ribosomal RNA". It matches the Rfam family "Bacterial small subunit ribosomal RNA", at positions 505 to 796 of the family's 1533-position model. The record is from RNAcentral.
GUGUCAGCAGCCGCGGUAAUACAGAGGUUGCGAGCGUUGUUCGGAAUUAUUGGGCGUAAAGCGCGUGUAGGCGGGACGGCAUGUCGAAUGUGAAAGCCCUCGGCUCAACCGAGGAAGUGCGUUCGAAACUACCGUUCUUGAGUGCCGGAGAGGGUGGCGGAAUUCCCGGUGUAGAGGUGAAAUUCGUAGAUAUCGGGAGGAACACCAGUGGCGAAGGCGGCCACCUGGACGGACACUGACGCUGAGACGCGAAAGCGUGGGGAGCAAACAGGAUUAGAAACCCUGGUAGUCC